RNAcentral lists this long non-coding RNA (215 nucleotides) under Lathyrus oleraceus (garden pea). RNAcentral's name for it is "Pisum sativum (pea) long non-coding RNA (PSAT_LNC005114)". The record is from RNAcentral. Lineage: Eukaryota; Viridiplantae; Streptophyta; Magnoliopsida; Fabales; Fabaceae.
GACAAACUAAUAGGGAAUCUGGAACUCGAGCCUAAUAGUUGUCACACAAACACAAAGAGACGCUGAGACGUCAGAAGAAACAAAAAGGUUGAAAAAGAAAAAAGGGCGCCCGGAGAGAUCUCGCUCGAUCUCCUGCCUACGUAUCUCAUCUGGUAUGAGAAUCAGGGCGACGUAGUUCUCCUUAACAGGGGAGAAACUCUCUCCUAACCAGAGAC